RNAcentral lists this ribosomal RNA (405 nucleotides) under uncultured bacterium. RNAcentral describes it as "bacterial SSU rRNA". It matches the Rfam family "Bacterial small subunit ribosomal RNA", at positions 355 to 774 of the family's 1533-position model. The record is from RNAcentral.
CAAGGAAUAUUGGACAAUGGGCGAAAGCCUGAUCCAGCGACACCGCGUGGGGGAAGAAGGCCUUCGGGUUGUAAACCCCUUUUCCCGGGGAAGAAAACAAUGACGGUACCCGGGGAAUAAGCCUCGGCUAAAUACGUGCCAGCAGCCGCGGUAAUACGUAUGAGGCGAGCGUUAUCCGGAUUUACUGGGCGUAAAGCGGGCGUAGGCGGCCUGUCAAGUCGGAUGUGAAAUCUCCCGGCUCAACUGGGAGGGUGCGUUCGAUACUGAUGGGCUAGAGUGCAGUAGAGGAAAGCGGAAUUUCCGGUGUAGUGGUGAAAUGCGUAGAUAUCGGGAAGAACACUAGUGGCGAAGGCGGCUUUCUGGGCUGUAACUGACGCUGAGGUCCGAAGGCGUGGGGAGCGAACA